GCACUUUCAGUCGUGAGGAAGGUAGUGUAGUUAAUAGCUGCAUUAUUUGACGUUAGCGACAGAAGAAGCACCGGCUAACUCCGUGCCAGCAGCCGCGGUAAUACGGAGGGUGCGAGCGUUAAUCGGAAUUACUGGGCGUAAAGACGCAUGCAGGUGGUUUGGUUUAAGUUCAGAUGUGAAAGACCCGGGGCUCAACCUCGGAAUAGCAUUUGAAACUGGCAGACUAGAGUACUGUAGAGGGGGGUAGGAAUUUCAGGUGUAGCGGUGAAAUGCGUAGAGAUCUGAAGGAAUACCGGUGGCGAAGGCGGCCCCCUCGGACAGAUACUGACACUCAGAUGCGAAAGCGUGGGGAGCAAACAGGAUUAGAUACCCUGGUAG
RNAcentral lists this ribosomal RNA (378 nucleotides) under uncultured bacterium. RNAcentral's name for it is "bacterial SSU rRNA". It matches the Rfam family "Bacterial small subunit ribosomal RNA", at positions 430 to 793 of the family's 1533-position model. The record is from RNAcentral.